CCUACGGGAGGCAGCAGUGAGGAAUAUUGGUCAAUGGACGGAAGUCUGAACCAGCCAUGCCGCGUGCAGGAAGACGGCUCUAUGAGUUGUAAACUGCUUUUGUACAAGGGUAAACCUGAAUACGUGUAUUCAGCUGAAAGUACUGUACGAAUAAAGAUCGGCUAACUCCGUUCCAUCAGCCGCGGUAAUACGGUGGCUACAAGCGUUGUCCGGAUUUAUUGGGUUUAAAGGGUGCGUAGGCGGAUUGAUAAGUUAGGUGGUAAAUGUCAGAGUGUAACUCGGGAAAUGCCAGUAAUACUGUAGAUCUAGAGAGUAGAUGCGGUAGGCGGAAUGUAUGGUGUAGCGGUGAAAUGCUUAGAGAUCAUACAGAACACCGAUUGCGAAGGCAGCUAACCAAUUUAUAUCUGACGUUGAGGUACGAAAGCGUGGGGAGCAAACAGGAUUAGAUACCCCAGUAGUC
RNAcentral lists this ribosomal RNA (460 nucleotides) under uncultured bacterium. RNAcentral describes it as "partial 16S ribosomal RNA". It matches the Rfam family "Bacterial small subunit ribosomal RNA", at positions 338 to 795 of the family's 1533-position model. The record is from RNAcentral.